UACGGAGGGUGCAAGCGUUGCUCGGAAUCACUGGGCGUAAAGCGACCGCAGGCGGCCUGACAAGUCGGAUGUGAAAGCCCUGGGCUCAACUCAGGAAUUGCAUUCGAAACUGGCAGGCUUGAGUACGGGAGAGGGGGGUGGAAUUCCUGGUGUAGGGGUGAAAUGCGCAGAUAUCAGGAAGAACACCCGUGGCGAAAGCGGCUCUCUGGAACGGUACUGACGCUGAGACGCGAAAGCGUGGGGAGCGAACAGG
This 253-nucleotide ribosomal RNA is filed under the name uncultured bacterium. RNAcentral's name for it is "partial 16S ribosomal RNA". It matches the Rfam family "Bacterial small subunit ribosomal RNA", at positions 524 to 776 of the family's 1533-position model. The record is from RNAcentral.